GCGAGGCCGAAAGGCGUAGUCGAUGGGAAACAGGUUAAUAUUCCUGUACUCGGUGUUACUGCGAAGGGGGGACGGAGAAGGCUAUGUUAGCCGGGCGACGGUUGUCCCGGUUUAAGCAUGUAGGCGGGAAGUUUAGGUAAAUCCGGACUUCUUUUAACGCUGAGGUGUGACGACGAGGCACUACGGUGCUGAAGUAACAAAUGCCCUGCUUCCAGGAAAAGCCUCUAAGCAUCAGGUAACAACGAAUCGUACCCCAAACCGACACAGGUGGUCAGGUAGAGAAUACCAAGGCGCUUGA
RNAcentral lists this ribosomal RNA (298 nucleotides) under Klebsiella ornithinolytica. RNAcentral describes it as "Raoultella ornithinolytica partial 23S ribosomal RNA". It matches the Rfam family "Bacterial large subunit ribosomal RNA", at positions 1396 to 1693 of the family's 2925-position model. Lineage: Bacteria; Pseudomonadati; Pseudomonadota; Gammaproteobacteria; Enterobacterales; Enterobacteriaceae. The record is from RNAcentral.